GUGCACCAGGCGAGAAUCCUCCGCAAUGCACGCAAGUGUGACGGGGGAUUCCAAGUGUUAUUGCAUUUUGUGUGAUAACUUUUCUUAAAUGUAAAUAGUUUGAGGAAUAAGGGCUGGGUAAGACGGGUGCCAGCCGCCGCGGUAAUACCCGCAGCUCAAGUGGUCUGGAGUUUUAUUGGGUCUAAAGCGUUCGUAGCUGGGUCUAUAAGUUCUCUGUGAAAUCUAACGGCUUAACCGUUAGGCGUGCAGAGGAUACUGUAGACCUCGAGACUGGGAUGGGUCAAGGGUACUCUCGGGGUAGGGGUGAAAUCCAAUAAUCCUGAGGGGACCACCUGUGGCGAAGGCGCUUGGCUAGAACAGGUCUGACAGUGAGGGACGAAAGCUAGGGGAGCGAACGGGAUUAGAUACCCCUGUAGU
This 417-nucleotide ribosomal RNA is filed under the name uncultured microorganism. RNAcentral describes it as "bacterial SSU rRNA". It matches the Rfam family "Archaeal small subunit ribosomal RNA", at positions 330 to 745 of the family's 1478-position model. The record is from RNAcentral.